This 486-nucleotide ribosomal RNA is filed under the name uncultured bacterium. RNAcentral's name for it is "bacterial SSU rRNA". It matches the Rfam family "Bacterial small subunit ribosomal RNA", at positions 28 to 507 of the family's 1533-position model. The record is from RNAcentral.
GAUGAACGCUAGCGGGAGGCUUAACACAUGCAAGUCGAGGGGCAGCAUAGGGUAGCAAUACUCUGAUGGCGACCGGCAAACGGGUGAGUAACGCGUAUGCAACCUACCCUGUACAGGGGGAUAACCCGGAGAAAUUCGGACUAAUAUCCCGUAAUAAUAUCCGGAGGCAUCUUUGGAUAUUUAAAGUUCCGACGGUACGGGAUGGGCAUGCGUAACAUUAGCUGGUUGGUAAGGUAACGGCUUACCAAGGCUAUGAUGUUUAGGGGUCCUGAGAGGGUGGUCCCCCACACUGGUACUGAGACACGGACCAGACUCCUACGGGAGGCAGCAGUGAGGAAUAUUGGUCAAUGGGCGCAAGCCUGACCAGCCAUCCCGCGUGCAGGAAGACGGCCCUAUGGGUUGUAAACUGCUUUUCCAGGGAGAGAAACUUACGCACGUGUUGCGUGACUGACGGUACCCUGGGAAUAAGCAUCGGCUAACUCCGUG